AUACAGAGGUCUCAAGCGUUGUUCGGAAUUACUGGGCGUAAAGCGUGUGUAGGCGGCGGGGUAAGUCAGAUGUGAAAGCCCGGGGCUCAACCCCGGAACUGCAUCCGAUACUGCCCUGCUAGAGUAGUGGAGGGGAGACUGGAAUUCACGGUGUAGCAGUGAAAUGCGUAGAUAUCGUGAGGAACACUAGUGGCGAAGGCGAGUCUCUGGACACUUACUGACGCUGAGACACGAAGGCUAGGGUAGCGAAAGGGAUUAGAUACCCCUGUAGUCCUAGCAGUAAACGGUGCGCGCUUGGUGUGGGAGGAUUCGACCCCUUCCGUGCCGGAGCUAACGCGUUAAGCGCGCCGCCUGGGGAGUACGGCCGCAAGGCUAAAACUCAAAGAAUUGACGGGGACCCGCACAAGCGGUGGAGUAUGUGGCUUAAUUCGAUGCAACGCGAAGAACCUUACCUACUCUUGACAUACUUGGAAGCUCUUGUAAUGAGAGUGUGCCUUAUGGAACCAAGA
RNAcentral lists this ribosomal RNA (509 nucleotides) under uncultured Verrucomicrobiaceae bacterium. RNAcentral's name for it is "bacterial SSU rRNA". It matches the Rfam family "Bacterial small subunit ribosomal RNA", at positions 523 to 1032 of the family's 1533-position model. Lineage: Bacteria; Pseudomonadati; Verrucomicrobiota; Verrucomicrobiia; Verrucomicrobiales; Verrucomicrobiaceae. The record is from RNAcentral.